This is a long non-coding RNA of Melanotaenia boesemani (Boeseman's rainbowfish), 212 nucleotides long. RefSeq lists it as uncharacterized. The record is from RefSeq and is a predicted model, not a curated record. NCBI's taxonomy places the organism in Eukaryota, Metazoa, Chordata, Actinopteri, Atheriniformes, Melanotaeniidae. The transcript has 3 exons.
ACCCCUGAUCUAAGUCAACCAACAGCCAGUCAAAGUGGAUGAUCCAACAAGAUCACAAUGACCUUGCUUCUGUUACAAUUCCUCAUCCUGAAGACUCUCUUACCUGAGUCACAAACCAUGCAUGAGCUGCAGACUGUGACCUUGUUUCCUGAUUAGAUGCUCCCACUCUCUGCCUUAUCACAAAUGUGACAUUGAUAGAUGGCUGUAAGUAG